RNAcentral lists this ribosomal RNA (253 nucleotides) under uncultured bacterium. RNAcentral describes it as "partial 16S ribosomal RNA". It matches the Rfam family "Bacterial small subunit ribosomal RNA", at positions 524 to 776 of the family's 1533-position model. The record is from RNAcentral.
UACGUAGGGUGCAAGCGUUGUCCGGAAUUAUUGGGCGUAAAGAGCUCGUAGGCGGUUCGUCGCGUCGGCUGUGAAAACCCGGAGCUCAACUCCGGGCCUGCAGUCGAUACGGGCGGACUUGAGUGCUGCAGGGGAGACUGGAAUUCCUGGUGUAGCGGUGAAAUGCGCAGAUAUCAGGAGGAACACCGGUGGCGAAAGCGGCGCACUGGACCACAACUGACGCUGAGGCGCGAAAGCUAGGGGAGCAAACAGG